This 253-nucleotide ribosomal RNA is filed under the name uncultured bacterium. Its description in RNAcentral is "partial 16S ribosomal RNA". It matches the Rfam family "Bacterial small subunit ribosomal RNA", at positions 524 to 776 of the family's 1533-position model. The record is from RNAcentral.
UACGUAGGUGGCAAGCGUUGUUCGGAUUCAUUGGGCGUAAAGGGUGCGUAGGCGGCGGGGCAAGUCUGAUGUGAAAUCCCGGGGCUCAACCCCGGAACUGCAUUGGAUACUGCCUUGCUAGAGUACUGGAGAGGGAACUGGAAUUUACGGUGUAGCAGUGAAAUGCGUAGAGAUCGUAAGGAAGGCCAGUGGCGAAGGCGAGUUCCUGGACAGUUACUGACGCUGAGGCACGAAGGCCAGGGGAGCAAACGGG